This 253-nucleotide ribosomal RNA is filed under the name uncultured bacterium. RNAcentral describes it as "partial 16S ribosomal RNA". It matches the Rfam family "Bacterial small subunit ribosomal RNA", at positions 524 to 776 of the family's 1533-position model. The record is from RNAcentral.
UACGUAGGGCGCGAGCGUUGUCCGGAAUCAUUGGGCGUAAAGAGCUCGUAGGCGGCCUGUCGCGUCUGCUGUGAAAUCCCGGGGCUUAACCCCGGGCGUGCAGUGGAUACGGGCUGGCUGGAGGCAGGCAGGGGAGAACGGAAUUCCCGGUGUAGCGGUGAAAUGCGCAGAUAUCGGGAGGAACACCGGUGGCGAAGGCGGUUCUCUGGGCCUGUACUGACGCUGAGGCGCGACAGCGUGGGGAGCAAACAGG